CACAUGCAAGUCGAACGGUAACAGGAAGCAGCUUGCUGCUUCGCUGACGAGUGGCGGACGGGUGAGUAAUGUCUGGGGAUCUGCCUGAUGGAGGGGGAUAACUACUGGAAACGGUAGCUAAUACCGCAUAACGUCGCAAGACCAAAGAGGGGGACCUUCGGGCCUCUUGCCAUCAGAUGAACCCAGAUGGGAUUAGCUAGUAGGUGGGGUAACGGCUCACCUAGGCGACGAUCCCUAGCUGGUCUGAGAGGAUGACCAGCCACACUGGAACUGAGACACGGUCCAGACUCCUACGGGAGGCAGCAGUGGGGAAUAUUGCACAAUGGGCGCAAGCCUGAUGCAGCCAUGCCGCGUGUAUGAAGAAGGCCUUCGGGUUGUAAAGUACUUUCAGCGAGGAGGAAGGCGGUAAGGUUAAUAACCUUAUCGAUUGACGUUACUCGCAGAAGAAGCACCGGCUAACUCCGUGCCAGCAGCCGCGGUAAUACGGAGGGUGCAAGCGUUAAUCGGAAUUACUGGGCGUAAAGCGCACGCAGGCGGUCUGUCAAGUCGGAUGUGAAAUCCCCGGGCUCAACCUGGGAACUGCAUUCGAAAC
Molecule: ribosomal RNA, 592 nt
Filed under: Siccibacter turicensis
Lineage: Bacteria; Pseudomonadati; Pseudomonadota; Gammaproteobacteria; Enterobacterales; Enterobacteriaceae
Description: bacterial SSU rRNA
Rfam family: Bacterial small subunit ribosomal RNA
Source: RNAcentral